This 207-nucleotide ribosomal RNA is filed under the name uncultured bacterium. RNAcentral describes it as "partial 16S ribosomal RNA". It matches the Rfam family "Bacterial small subunit ribosomal RNA", at positions 568 to 774 of the family's 1533-position model. The record is from RNAcentral.
CUCGUAGGCGGUUCGUCGCGUCCGGUGUGAAAGUCCAUCGCUUAACGGUGGAUCCGCGCCGGGUACGGGCGGGCUUGAGUGCGGUAGGGGAGACUGGAAUUCCCGGUGUAACGGUGGAAUGUGUAGAUAUCGGGAAGAACACCGAUGGCGAAGGCAGGUCUCUGGGCCGUCACUGACGCUGGGGAGCGAAAGCGUGGGGAGCGAACA